CUAAUACCCAAUGAUAUCUCUAGAAGGCAUCUGAAAGAGAUUAAAGAUUUAUCGGUGAUGGAUGGGGAUGCGUCUGAUUAGCUUGUUGGCGGGGUAACGGCCCACCAAGGCAACGAUCAGUAGGGGUUCUGAGAGGAAGGUCCCCCACAUUGGAACUGAGACACGGUCCAAACUCCUACGGGAGGCAGCAGUGAGGAAUAUUGGUCAAUGGACGAGAGUCUGAACCAGCCAAGUAGCGUGCAGGAUGACGGCCCUAUGGGUUGUAAACUGCUUUUAUAAGGGAAUAAAGUGAGUCUCGUGAGACUUUUUGCACGUACCUUAUGAAUAAGGACCGGCUAAUUCCGUGCCAGCAGCCGCGGUAAUACGGAAGGUCCGGGCGUUAUCCGGAUUUAUUGGGUUUAAAGGGAGCGUAGGCCGGAGAUUAAGCGUGUUGUGAAAUGUAGAUGCUCAACAUCUGAACUGCAGCGCGAACUGGUUUCCUUGAGUACGCACAAAGUGGGCGGAAUUCGUGGUGUAGCGGUGAAAUGCUUAGAUAUCACGAAGAACUCCGAUUGCGAAGGCAGCUCACUGGAGCGCAACUGACGCUGAAGCUCGAAAGUGCGGGUAUCGAACAGGAUUAGAUACCCUGGUAGUCCGCACGGUAAAC
This 646-nucleotide ribosomal RNA is filed under the name uncultured bacterium. RNAcentral's name for it is "bacterial SSU rRNA". It matches the Rfam family "Bacterial small subunit ribosomal RNA", at positions 163 to 807 of the family's 1533-position model. The record is from RNAcentral.